GACGAACGCUGGCGGCGUGCUUAACACAUGCAAGUCGAACGGAAAGGCCCUGCUUUUGUGGGGUGCUCGAGUGGCGAACGGGUGAGUAACACGUGAGUAACCUGCCCUUGACUUUGGGAUAACUUCAGGAAACUGGGGCUAAUACCGGAUAGGAGCUCCUGCUGCAUGGUGGGCGUUGGAAAGUUUCGGCGGUUGGGGAUGGACUCGCGGCUUAUCAGCUUGUUGGUGGGGUAGUGGCUUACCAAGGCUUUGACGGGUAGCCGGCCUGAGAGGGUGACCGGCGACAUGGGGACUGAGAUACGGCGCAGAGUGCUACGGGAGGCAGCAGUGGGGAGUAUGGCACAAUGGGCGGGAGCGUGAUGCAGCAACGCCGCGUGCGGGAUGACGGCCUUCGGGGUGUAAACCGCUUUCGCCUGUGACGAAGCGUGAGUGACGGUAAUGGGUAAAGAAGCACCGGCUAACUACGUG
This 468-nucleotide ribosomal RNA is filed under the name uncultured bacterium. Its description in RNAcentral is "partial 16S ribosomal RNA". It matches the Rfam family "Bacterial small subunit ribosomal RNA", at positions 28 to 507 of the family's 1533-position model. The record is from RNAcentral.